GACGAACGCUGGCGGCGUGGAUUAGGCAUGCAAGUCGAACGGUAGGAUACCUUCGGGUAUCUGAGAGUGGCGAACGGGUGAGUAACACGUAGGUGAUCUACCCUCAAGAUUGGGACAACCCAGGGAAACUUGGGCUAAUACCGGAUGAAAGCAGCAGUGAUGUUGUUUGAAAGGUGGCGUAAGCUGCCGUUUGGGGAUGAGCCUGCGCUCUAUUAGUUAGUUGGCGGGGUAAAGGCCCACCAAGGCGAUGAUAGAUAGGCGGCCUUAACGGGUGGUCGCCCACACUGGGAUUGAGAUACGGCCCAGACUCCUACGGGAGGCAGCAGUCGAGAAUAGUCUACAAUGGCCGAAAGGCUGAUAGUGCGACGCCGCGUGAACGAAGAAGCCCUUCGGGUGUAAAGUCUUUUAUAUGUGAGCAGUGCUUUCUAUGUGAACAGCAUGGGGAGAGAGAUAUUAGCAUAUGAAUAAGAACGGCUAACUCCGUGCCAGC
RNAcentral lists this ribosomal RNA (490 nucleotides) under uncultured bacterium. RNAcentral's name for it is "bacterial SSU rRNA". It matches the Rfam family "Bacterial small subunit ribosomal RNA", at positions 28 to 512 of the family's 1533-position model. The record is from RNAcentral.